RNAcentral lists this ribosomal RNA (654 nucleotides) under uncultured bacterium. Its description in RNAcentral is "bacterial SSU rRNA". It matches the Rfam family "Bacterial small subunit ribosomal RNA", at positions 152 to 823 of the family's 1533-position model. The record is from RNAcentral.
AGAAAUGACUGCUAAUACCGCAUAAGCGCACGGGACUGCAUGGUCUUGUGUGAAAAACUCCGGUGGUAUGAGAUGGACCCGCGUCUGAUUAGCUUGUUGGUGAGGUAACGGCCCACCAAGGCGACGAUCAGUAGCCGGCCUGAGAGGGUGGACGGCCACAUUGGGACUGAGACACGGCCCAAACUCCUACGGGAGGCAGCAGUGGGGAAUAUUGCACAAUGGGGGAAACCCUGAUGCAGCGACGCCGCGUGAGUGAAGAAGUAUCUCGGUACGUAAAGCUCUAUCAGCAGGGAAGAAAAUGACGGUACCUGACUAAGAAGCCCCGGCUAACUACGUGCCAGCAGCCGCGGUAAUACGUAGGGGGCAAGCGUUAUCCGGAUUUAUUGGGUGUAAAGGGCGUGUAGGCGGGAAUGCAAGUCUGAUGUGAAAGGCCGGGGCUCAACUCCGGGACUGCAUUGGAAACUGUCAGACUGGAGUGUCGGAGAGGUAAGCGGAAUUCCUAGUGUAGCGGUGAAAUGCGUAGAUAUUAGGAGGAACACCAGUGGCGAAGGCGGCUUGCUGGACAGUAACUGACGUUGAGGCUCGAAAGCGUGGGGGAGCAAACAGGAUUAGAUACCCUGGUAGUCCACGCCGUAAACGAUGAAUGCUAGGUGU